This is a long non-coding RNA of Physella acuta, 745 nucleotides long. RefSeq lists it as uncharacterized. Lineage: Eukaryota; Metazoa; Mollusca; Gastropoda; Physidae. The record is from RefSeq and is a predicted model, not a curated record.
GCACCAUUCGGCACCGUGACGGUGAGCGGAAAUGAUGCAGACAAGCAGUACUGCGCCAUGUUGUGGGUAGAGGAUUGGGGCAGUGAAUGAAUUCAAACCUCACACUGUGCAGCCCUACACUCCUACCCCCACCCCCUAACACAAAUCUAGCCCACUAGCAAGGUGAACAACAGCCGCCUGUAGAGACUUAGAACAACAGCCGCCUGUAGAGACUUAGAACAACAGCCGCCUCUAGAGACUUAGAACACAACAAUCUGUGGAGACUGACAGGCAGGCGUUCUACAAACUGAAAGUAGCGAGGCAGCCAUUGGACAAGCUCUUCAAUCUUUGAAGAUAGAAAAAGUAACUGCGACUCAAAGCUUGCUGGAACAUUCAGGAACAGGAGGAACUGUCAGUUUUGUGUACAUUUCUAGAGCAACAAGCCAAGGUUGUACAUAAUGUCCUCAACCAUGUCCUAUUUUUUUAUGUUCGUGCUCUUCGUGAUUGCCAUUCUCGUGGUCAGUCGGCUACUGGCUAGUGAAUGAAGAAAAAAGGGUUGAAAAAUGGAAUGGCCACCAUCAGUCACCACACCCAGCUACCCCCAUCUUGGUCUCCACAACAUGGAACUGCAGUUAAAUUUCAGAACUAAAUUUUGGCAUCUUUUAAUUUAUCUUUGAAACACUGAAGGCUUUGGAAAAUAAAAGUGUAACAUGGGCAUUUAAGUAGUAAAGAUUCUUACAUUAAAAUAAAAAGGUAGAGAAAUAUG